RNA transcript from Drosophila elegans, 580 nucleotides. RefSeq lists it as uncharacterized. The transcript has 2 exons. The record is from RefSeq and is a predicted model, not a curated record. NCBI's taxonomy places the organism in Eukaryota, Metazoa, Arthropoda, Insecta, Diptera, Drosophilidae.
AUAUAUAUUCUGGAUCAGCAUCACUAAGAGAGUCGAUCUAGCCAGUUCGUUGAUUGCAGCGCCAAAUACAAUGGUAAUAAAAUUUGACCAACUAAACAAAACCAAAACAACAUUCAACAAUCGGCCUGGCCAUACAGAUCGGCAUGGAUCGCUUCAUCCAAAACAAGUGUAAGUUGAAAUUCAACCAAAACUGAGUCAAGAGACCCAACCGAAACCAAAGCCCCCACCAAUUAACAUUAGGGAGAACAGCUCGAGUGCCAUGGUCAACAAAAUUGUUCGCAAAAAAACCUUUUUUCUGCAAAGAACGUUAGUUACAUCAUUAACAAGAACAGAGUCAGAAAGAAGAGUCUUGAAGAUACAUGAAGUGCAUCCUAUCCAUAACCUGCAAUACCUAUUGCACCAGAGAAUUACGUUGGAUGUGCCACAUAAAAGGAACUGCCAGGAGUAUGGACACACCAGGACAUACUGCACACUCCGAACAGUCUGUGUAGUUAAUUAAGAUUUAAAUACUUAUUGUCAGUCUCUUAAGCAACGAGAGAGGAUCAGAUAAAUAAAAAUAAAAUAUUACAGAAGAACAAAA